This is an RNA transcript of Populus nigra (black poplar), 5138 nucleotides long. RefSeq lists it as uncharacterized. Lineage: Eukaryota; Viridiplantae; Streptophyta; Magnoliopsida; Malpighiales; Salicaceae. The record is from RefSeq and is a predicted model, not a curated record. The transcript has 3 exons.
GUGCGAGCGUCGGGGCGUUUGUUAUUUAUUGCAGUGUCUCUCCACUCACUGGCUUCGGCUCUUCUCCGUUUUCUCCGUUUGUGCGUAUCAGAAUUCAGAGCGCAAAACUUUGUUUAAAAAAUUAGGUCAAAAGAAAUUCAACAUCAAGAUGGCACGAAACGAAGAGAAAGCUCAGUCGAUGCUCAAUCGAUUCAUAACACUAAAAGCCGAAGAAAAAAAGAAACCUAAAGAGCGCCGUCCUUACCUAGCCUCCGAAUGCCGCGACCUCGCCGAAGCCGACAGGUGGCGUCAGCAAAUCAUGCGCGAAAUCGGCCGCAAAGUUGCCGAGAUUCAAAACGAAGGUCUCGGCGAACACCGCCUCCGCGACUUAAACGACGAAAUCAACAAGUUAAUACGCGAGAAAUCGCAUUGGGAACGCCGUAUUGUUGAGCUUGGCGGUCCUAAUUAUGCGAAACAUUCUGCUAAAAUGACGGAUUUGGAAGGAAAUAUUAUUGAUGUGCCUAACCCUAGCGGGCGUGGGCCUGGCUAUAGGUAUUUUGGUGCGGCGAAGAAGUUGCCGGGUGUCAGGGAGUUGUUUGAGAAACCGCCGGAGCUGAGAAAGAGGCGGACGAGGUAUGAUAUUUACAAGAGGAUUGACGCGAGUUAUUAUGGGUAUAGGGACGAGGAGGAUGGGAUAUUGGAGAAGGUUGAAGGUCCUGCGGAGGAAGAGAUGAGAAUGCGUGCGGUGGAGGAGUGGAAGAGGAUGGAGGCAAUAAGGAAGGAAGCGAGGAAAGGAGCCAAGGAAGUUGUGAGUGUUGGAGUUGGUGUUGGAGCAGAGGUUUUGUUUGAGGAGGAGGAGGAUGUGGUGGAGGAGGAGAGGAGGGAGGAGAGGGAGAGAGAGGAUAUUGAAAGGAAGGAAAAGGAGAGAGAGUUUGUUGUGCAUGUUCCGUUGCCAGACGAUAAGGAGAUUGAGAGGAUGGUUUUGGAGAAGAAGAAAAUGGAGUUGUUGAGCAAGUAUGCUAGUGAUUCAUUGAUGGAGGAGCAGACUGAAGCUAAGGUUAUGCUUAACAUUCAGCACUAGAUGGUUGAUGGAAGUAAAGAUGAAGGAAUGGUGACCAAAAGUCAUCUACUUUGUACACGUGGAAUCUUCCCAGGAUAAGGUGUUGUAAAUCAUUCCUUACAUUAUGAUAAAGAGCUCAUCGUUUUCUUGAGGGCGGGGCGUGUUUGGUGCUUUGGUUGCGGCUGUACGAAAAUGCUAUUUAUAAGUGUUUGGUUAGAUAUUAACCACACUUUUAUUGUUGCGGGUUCCAUCCAAAACUGAAGUUGGAACUUAGUUUCUUGAAAAACAAUUUGGAUUUACUUUUUGCGAAGGCGUGGUCUCCUUUCUCCUUCACCGACAAUGCAGAUAAUUAACCAUUGCAAAAAUUUCUCAAAACAAUCCGAGAGGUCUUCAUUGUUCAGAUCUGGAAAAAUCUUGUCAUUUCUCAAAUUUUCAUCUUUGUUCCUCUUUGUUCCCUUCUCUCAUCUCUUGUAACGAAAUCAUUGCAAAAUUUUUCCAAAACAACCAUCUCGUCUGUAUUGCUCUUUCCCUUCUCGUCCUUCUUCUUCUUCUACUUCAUUUUCCUGUCUCUAUUGUUCUACAAAGUGAACAGUGGAGAGCGUGGACUAUUCUUGGGCUGGAACGAGUCUAGUCCAAACCUAAAUGUAUUGGAUUAGGUCUAACCUAAUAAAAUAAAAUAAAAAUCUAAUUUUUUUUUCAAAUAUUGUGUUUUAUUUGAAAAACUAGUUUAACAUUAUUUGAUGAUACUACAUAAUUACAUUAGAAGAAGAUCGCAUGAUAACGUAGCAUUUGCAGAAUUUGAUUGCAAUCCUAAUUUGUUCCUGAUGAUAUUUUACUUGAUAUUGUUGCACGCUCAGGAAGCAAUGGAAACUAUAGUCCUUGUCGGAGGGAUUUCAUAUGUGAUGAAAUUGCAGAUAGUUUAAUGAAAUAAUAAAAAAUAUUUUAUAUAAAGUAUUGUUUAUUUCAUGAUGUAAUAGCAGUAGUUAAAUUUAUAAUAUUUCAAUUAAAAAUCAUCAAUAUUAAUAUAUGUUUGUUUUAGUUAUUUUAUAAUCUUAAUUUGAAAAAUAUUCUUAACCAAAUACAUUAAAUUAUUUUUUUUUCAACCUUAAUUUCAACCACAGUUUUAACCAAAUAUAUAUUUUACCAAACCAAUCUCAACUAAAAAUGAUUUUUAUAAAACAAUUUUCUUUAAAUUAUAACUAUAAAAACUACUACAAUACCAAAUACAUUUUUAUACUCGUUUGUAAAAUUAUUUCUUUGUACUUGGCUUUUAUAAUGAAAUUACUUUUUUUUUUUUAAUACUUGACAAGAAAUAUCAAUUGCUAUUGUGGUAAAUUUGUCUCUUCAAUUUUGAAUGCAUGGUGAGAUUGUUUAUUUAUUCUUGGAAGCGAAAAACUAGCAUUUGGGGUUUUUCUUUUUUAAUCCUUUCAUAUUCUUUUUAUAAUUUUGUUUUUCAAUCUAGAUUUAUGAAUUUUUUUUAAUUUGAUUUUUAUUAUUUUGAUUUGUUUUUUAUCCUUUCAUUCAUUUGAUUUCUUUUAAAUUUCACCACCACUCAUUCAAGAAUUCAUAGUUGUCUUUUAAUUUAAUUUUUAUUUUUUUAAUUGUUAUUUGUAGUCUUGGAUUUUUUUUGUAUAAUUAAUUUUUUUUUAUUUAAUCCCUUAACAUUUGAUUGGAUGAGGAUUAUGUUUUGUGAUUUUUUCAUCUAUAGUAUAUAAUGACAUGGUUUAUAUGUUUAAAAAGUUAUCAUAAGUUGAAAUUUUUUUUUUACUUAUUUUUUUUUAUUUCAUUGUUCGACAUUAGUUUUUUAUAUAUAAAAAGGGCCGUGUGUUUUCUUUAAUUUUUUUUAUUAGGUUAUUAUAAUCUAUGCUGUAAGAUUUGCAAGUUAAUCCAGGUUAGACCACCUCUUAUUAUAUGUGUUACAUGUUUGUAAUGCUAUUUUGAAUUGAUUUUUUUUAUUUAAUUUUAUCAUUUCAUAAUUAAUUAGCUUAAAAUUGGGCAACAUUAUUUUCCUUUCAUUAUUGAAAAAAGAGUAAUUGAUUUUUCUUCCUUUUUAAAAUGGGACUGCAUCAUAUAAACAUUAAUUUAAAAAAAAAACACAAAUAUGAAAUAAUACGCCGCGGGCCUAUGUCUAGUUUCAGCUAAAACAGAAAGUUCUGAAACAAGACUUGGUUAAUUGAGAUUCAUGUCCUUGUGCUGCUUACAGAGGCUUCAACUGCCUUCAAAUAGUCACACUGGGGAACUGGCAUAAUCCUCGACCUGCACAAAAGAAAAAAAAUCACAAAAAGAAGAAGAGAGUAACAAAGUGAAUCUUUCAUGUCGCAAACUUGCAUCAUGCUUUGGCAAAUAAGAAAUGUAGUUUAGAUAUCAAGUUCAGGUGAAUCAUGCUUUCGCAAUUGAUGUUUUUUUUUACUAAUUUUCUAUUCGUUUGUAAAAUAGUCGUGCAAGCGAGGUAAAAUCAUAGGGUAAUUAAUAUUUAUGUUGGUGUUAAUGUGUUUGAGGAUUGUUCACGGUCCUCAAAGCCACCCAUCACUUAAAAUCAUGCAGACUCACUUGGAUCACUGGUGGUCUGCACAGCAAGUCCAUUGAAGUAGCAAUUGGCACCCUGGCUCCUGAACUUAGCCCAAUACGAGCUAAAUGCAAAACUGGCAUGCCAAAUUACUGACAAUGGCUCAUAACAUUCCUUCCCUGGGGUCAAGGCUUCGCAGGUCCCGUUUCCUUGACUGCAUGCAAAAGUUAAUGCUCUUUCCAACUCUGUCAGAUUGACGUCCGGUGCUGCCACGCACCAUGAUUUGCCUUCAUAGGGCAUGUCAUUUUGUGUUGCAGGUAGCGGUUCAUAGUCUGAUGAUGCUCUCUUCCCUGUCAAAUCAAUUUGAUAUAUAGACGUCCCAUUUGGAUGCAACAAGCCCCAGUGCCGCUCUGUUCCCGGGCCAGUCUUUUGGUUCUCAUCGUACAAGGAAAAGAUAAAUGCUGGUAUGAACAAACCUGGUCUAGCUGGGGUGCCGAUUAGGGGCUGACUAGUCAUCUUUGUAACAAGAUUCCGAUUGUAAGUAGCUGCGUUGUAAAUGCUAGCACCAGUUUCACCGAUAUCGCCUGCAUUAGGCCAGCCAGUUUCAGCUAUCGAAAGCCGGAUACUGUGAAAGCCAAGUUUGGUCAUGGCAAAAACAAGGGAGUCAAGCAUUUGGUCUAGGAGGUUGGUGUAGACCAAGCCACUACCGGGGUCAGUGUAUUUGAUAUUUGAUUGUAACAACGCAAAAUCGAGGUUUAUAUUGAUGGGAUUUGCAGACCAAGGGAAAUAAGGGUAGACGUCAAUGAAGAAAAAUGACUUGGUGCUGUUUAAGAAUUUUAGCAAUGGCAUCAUCACGGUAGUUGAGAUAUCAGGCCGAAAAGUCCCAGUGGAUGGUGGAAAAGCUGUUUGCAGCACGUCCAUGGCUAGCGGAGUACCUACUUUGAUGUUACGGAUAUCCUGAGCUCUGAGAGAGAUCUUGAUUCUACGCAUUGCAGGCACAAGAUGAUUCCAAAUCCGUUUUCCUUCAUCUGAACAGUAGCUGAGAACUUCAUUGCCAACAAGAAUGGUACGGAUCAUGGUUUCAGGGUGGUAAGCGAGGACAUUGUCUUCGACCCAUUUGUUGGCGGAGGUCUGGUUGGUGGCUAAGUUGAUGAUUUCAUAAUUGGGAACCAUAAUGGAGACCCGAAUAUCAGUUCCUGCUAAGAGUCUCAGGAUUUCAGGGUUGGCAUCAUAGAGCUUUACACUGCCAGCUUUCAUGGUUCUAAGAGAUUCUAUGGAUUGACCUGCAGAUGGCAAGUUGUUCCCAAGCAGGCCAUAGUUCACCCCAAUCUUCCCUGAAGGCAUUGCAUCUGUCAAAGUGAAAAUUCUGGAAUUAGUUGAGAAAAAUGAACAAGAAAACUGAAAGAGACAUGUCUGGUGGCAGAAAACUUACCAGAGAGAACAAGAAGAGAGAGGAAAAGGAGAGCAUCGCCACACAUUUUUCUUGUCAUUUUGUUUCCUGAAGCAUAGUAUGUCUUCCCAUUACAGAGUUCUUAUUGGAACUUCUAUAAGAACUCUUGAAGCUCGAACUAAAUGGACUCUGCUAUCUUUGUA